UUGGGAUGACAAUUUGUGGUCCUAGAGGUGGGGAAGAAACACUAUUGAUAAAGAAUGAAGAUAGAGAGGACAUUCGGUUAAAGUGAAAAUCAGUGUCUGAGAAGUGGUCUGAAGAAGGAAAAUAGGACAAGAAUGGGCAUGAACAUAGGAGGUCAUAAGAGAGAUAGAUUGGUCUUUACCACCUCGAGGUAACUUCCGCAACCAAAAAAUAAAAUAAAAUAUUCUUGAAAUUGG
Molecule: long non-coding RNA, 234 nt
Filed under: Elaeis guineensis (African oil palm)
Lineage: Eukaryota; Viridiplantae; Streptophyta; Magnoliopsida; Arecales; Arecaceae
Description: long non-coding RNA (EGUI_LNC072838)
Source: RNAcentral